UUUCCGUAGGUGAACCUGCGGAAGGAUCAUUAUUGAAUAACCGAGGUGCGAGGGCUGUCGCUGACCCGAAAGGUCGUGCACGCCCGGGCGCCCUCACACACAUCCAUCUCACCCCUAUGUGCACCACCGCGUGGGUCCCCCUUUGGCUUGUUCGGAGGGGGGCUUACGUUUUCACACAAACUUUGUAUGCAGUGUAGAAUGUAUUUUUUGUUUUUGCGAUCACGCAAUCAAUACAACUUUCAACAACGGAUCUCUUGGCUCUC
This 263-nucleotide unclassified non-coding RNA is filed under the name plant metagenome. RNAcentral describes it as "partial contains small subunit ribosomal RNA, internal transcribed spacer 1, and 5.8S ribosomal RNA". The record is from RNAcentral.